Molecule: ribosomal RNA, 424 nt
Filed under: Verrucomicrobiota bacterium
Lineage: Bacteria; Pseudomonadati; Verrucomicrobiota
Description: Verrucomicrobia bacterium partial 16S ribosomal RNA
Rfam family: Bacterial small subunit ribosomal RNA
Source: RNAcentral
UGAGGAAUAUUGGUCAAUGGACGAGAGUCUGAACCAGCCAAGUAGCGUGCAGGAUGACGGCCCUAUGGGUUGUAAACUGCUUUUGUUUGGGAAUAAUCGACAUUACGUGUAAUGUUUUGCAUGUACCAUUCGAAUAAGGACCGGCUAAUUCCGUGCCAGCAGCCGCGGUAAUACGGAAGGUCCAGGCGUUAUCCGGAUUUAUUGGGUUUAAAGGGCGUGUAGGCGGUUGGUUAAGCGUGUUGUGAAAUGUAGAUGCUCAACAUCUGACUUGCAGCGCGAACUGGCUGACUUGAGUACACACAACGUAGGCGGAAUUCAUGGUGUAGCGGUGAAAUGCUUAGAUAUCAUGAAGAACUCCGAUUGCGAAGGCAGCUUACGGGAGCGCAACUGACGCUGAAGCUCGAAGGUGCGGGUAUCGAACAGG